GCAGGCAUAGAUCAAACUCCCACUUCAAGUGUUGCUGAAACAAAUUCUGUAUUGAGCAACUCAUCAAAAAGUCAAACUAUAUUUUAAUUGUCACCAUCAGUUGAAUUUUCUGGUAAUGUUAAAAGUAGUUGCAGGAACACAUCUUCUCAAGCAUCGAGGUUAAUUCCAAAAAGAUUAAAACUACCUGGUGAAACUA
Molecule: non-coding RNA, 196 nt
Organism: Hydra vulgaris (swiftwater hydra)
Lineage: Eukaryota; Metazoa; Cnidaria; Hydrozoa; Anthoathecata; Hydridae
Source: RefSeq, a predicted model, not a curated record